AAAUGCACAAUGUGAGUAGUGAUUCCUAAGCAUUUAAGGGGUGAUUUUCAAGUAAUAGAGUGAGCAGAAGACACCAUGUACAGGGACUCCAGAUGCCCCAGGCAGAGGUAAAAUGCUCGAAAGAGAGGAACAUCACUACCUGGCGGGCAGGUGGGGACAGGCUUGCCACGGAUGGUCUGGGGAUGGGAUAACUCUCUGGCUCCCACUCUGAGAAGCAGGAGGUGAUCUGGCCACAAGCCCUCAAGACGUGUUGAGUUUGGGAAUACCUCACUGCUAGGGAAUACCAGGAAUUAUGCAAUUCACUGUCUUCAUUUUAAAAUUCUGUAUGGGAGAAGCUAAAAAGUGAAGUUGGGGGGUUUUAGUAUAUUUCAUUUGCAUUGGUUUACUCUUCUCGUUCCUUGAUUAUCUGAGAGGAGGCUGCUGUUACGGAAAAGCGAAAACCAGGAGUGGUUUGAAUAUUCUUCCUUGAGACUUUUGACUGUUUCUAUAAGAAGUGGAUCUGCAUGUGCCUUUUGGAUAUUGUGUUCCUCAUGACAAUGCCUUUUGUUCAUAGAUAGUUCCCAGUUUCCAAAGACUUUCCCCAUUAUAACAUUUGUUCCAUCCUCAAAACCGUCAAAUGCAAAGGCCUCCAUUUUAUUAAAGGAGAAAGUACGACUCAAAGAAGUCAAGUGACUCACCCGAGGUCACACAGCUAAAUUCUAGCAGAGCAAGGGACCAAGAUAGUGAAUUCUAAAUGCAGAGACCUUCUUAUUGUUCCAAUUUUCUGUCCGACAAUGCCCACCUCCUGGAGUGAGCAAGUCUUGCUGGAGACACAACAGCAGCUACAAGUGGUCCUCCCGACUAUUCCAGAAAUCCUUUUUCCACAGUGAAAAACUGAAUUUGCCUGCCCCAGUUUCCCAGCCGCCUCAUGACUCGAUGAGCAAUUGCUUUAACUCUGACAAAAUUAGGCCACCUCCAACCUAAAUGUAACCCGUUUUCAGAGUGAGACCCUGCAUGGAGGCAGCUCUUUUCCUGAAAGGAUAACAAAAGCAUGCUUUUGUGUGUAUUUCACUUGAUGGAAAGAAAUCCCCAGUGAGGCCGUUUUUUCCCCCUGAAUUCUCCCAAGUCCAGAAUGUAUCCAAGUUUCCAAUAUUACCUCAGAAGAGCCAUUCAUCUAUGAAGAUGGCCGAAUUGUCUUCCAGCUCGGUAGACAGUGUGUCUGCGAGAGAGAAGGGCCUGUCAAGAUCUGCCUGGUGAGCUGUCACUUGUCAUCACUUGGCUCUCAAUGAGGAUCUUUGUGUCUUCACUGUCAUGAAGAGGCAUGGCAACUGGCAAAGAAUUUCCUGGGGCGCUACCUGAUCCACCAUUAUUCACCUCUUAUCAUCUUAGCAGAGUAGUUACGCCACUGUCAGAGGUAAUGGAGACCAUGCCACUAAGAAAAUUGGCCGUAAUUUAUUUAUCAGUUGUUUCUGUAUACCACAAAAGCGGCCUUCUACUUUACGGCUGGGUCUAAGGUAUUUGAGAGCCCUCGAAGUUCAUGGUUUUCCGGUAUUCUAACUUCUACUUAUGGCCUUUCCUGUAGAUGACACACAACACCGCCCUUGUGGCUUGCAGUCAGUUUUCUUCUUUGCUUUCUUUAGUCACAAAUCAUCCUGAGGCAUCCCUUAAGUGCAUUUGUAUUGUUAAGUGCACCAGCUUGAUUUGGUGUUAAUUCAAUUUGAGUGCCCUUAAUAUCUUGUGGGGGUGAUGCAAUGCAGGCUGCCUCUACCUUGUAAAAUCGGGUCCCAGGUCCGCCUGCGAGCAAAGCACCUUUCCCAUAGCCACUUACCAAAGUUGCUGAUAAAAUUUUCAUAAGGGAACCUUUUUAGUCUGACCCUAUUGUGUUAUUCUACCAUUAAGUCUCAGAGAACUGAGCUGGCUUCUAGUGACAGCUUAUCACAUUCUCCAUUAUUGCUGCCUGCCCAGAGAGCUGGCUGGCUGUGUGUAGUGCAAGCUCCCUCCCUCCCCACCACUUCUGGGACGUUCUGGGAAAAGCUUGUGGGCCAGCACCUCGGGGCUAAUGGGAGAUUGUCUCUCUGUGGGUGCCAGAGAACUGAGCUCUCUUCCUGAUGAGCUGGUUCCUUUCACCUUGGAAAGCUCGAGGGGCCCUGAAGGAUGAGGAACCUGAGGGAUAAGGAGAGCAGUGAAGGGUGAGCUGAAGUGGAGGAAGAGUUACAAAGCACUUUCCUUAAAACAGCACAGAACGCAGCCACAACCAUGUGAGCACCACUCUGACACACAGUUUGAGGCAGAGGAUUAGACCAGGUAUUUGUCUUUGGAAUAUUUGCUUUAGAAACAUGAUGACAUUAUUCACUCCAAGAGAACUCCAAAAUCAUGGGCCACUUGUCCCUGGGUUGGCAUCUGAACUCAGUAGCUUAUUUGCUUUGUGACCUUGAUCAGUUUUCCUAUCUGUGAAAUCAGCACCCACCUAUGGGUUUGUGUGCAUGGUGUGUGUGUGUGUGUGUGUGUGUGUGUGUGUGUGCUGAUUAAAUGAGGCAACACAUAUAAAGACCACCAAAAACAGUAUCUCCUGUGACUAUCUUAGAAUCCAGGAGGCCGUCAAAGGGCAAGGUGAGAAAGCUGGUUCAGACAGUGCAGAAAUUAUCUGGGUACCACAAGAUGAGAAAGAGAUAAUAAGUCUAGAAACUUGGUCUUCUGAUCCUUGACCCAAUCUAGGUCCUUUCCGUCCAUCCCACUGUCUCCCUAAUGCUGUCCAUGGACAUCAGGAGCUUGAGUAGAUUUGGGGUGCAUCAGGCUACUUUCUACUUCCUUGAUGACAAGAUUUCUUCACUGCAGACUAACCUCUUCUCGGUCACUCUUCCUUGUUUUGUUGACUGUGUCUGAGGAAUGGCUUAAAUCUGCCUAACAGUGUGAGCAUUGCCCCUACCUGUCUGCUGCGUUGGGUUAAAAAGCAUGGUAGUCCAAUAAACAGAACUGGGAGAUGCUCUUUCAAAAGAGCAUUUAAAAAUUAUUGUUCACUGUAGAUGUCACAGAAGUAUAGAUAAAGUGCAAAUACUACAGCAAAAGGGAAAAAUCCCCUGUCAUGCCACCUAUAACCGUGAAGUCACGUGCUGUGUUUUCUUCCUCUUUUUCUUUUCUUUUUUUUUUUUUAUUAUACUUUAAGUUUUAGGGUACAUGUGCACAUUGUGCAGGUUAGUUAUAUAUGUAUACAUGUGCCAUGCUGGUGCGCUGCA
Molecule: long non-coding RNA, 3212 nt
Filed under: Homo sapiens (human)
Lineage: Eukaryota; Metazoa; Chordata; Mammalia; Primates; Hominidae
Description: HSALNT0146999
Source: RNAcentral